This 73-nucleotide transfer RNA is filed under the name Cornufer vitianus (Fiji ground frog). RNAcentral's name for it is "Platymantis vitianus (Fiji ground frog) tRNA-Asn". Lineage: Eukaryota; Metazoa; Chordata; Amphibia; Anura; Ceratobatrachidae. The record is from RNAcentral.
UAGAAUGGCGGGUCUUGAUCCCACAACUCCGUAGUUAACAGCUAGGGGUCCUACCGAAUGGACCUCACUCUAC